CCUACGAGCGGCUGCAGUGGGGAAUAUUGGACAAUGGGGGCAACCCUGAUCCAGCCAUGCCGCGUGUGUGAAGAAGGCCCUCGGGUUGUAAAGCACUUUCAGUGAGGAAGAACGCCUGGUGGUUAAUACCCAUCAGGAAAGACAUCACUCACAGAAGAAGCACCGGCUAACUCCGUGCCAGCAGCCGCGGUAAUACGGAGGGUGCGAGCGUUAAUCGGAAUUACUGGGCGUAAAGCGCGCGUAGGUGGCUUGAUAAGCCGGUUGUGAAAGCCCCGGGCUCAACCUGGGAACGGCAUCCGGAACUGUCAAGCUAGAGUGCAGGAGAGGAAGGUAGAAUUCCCGGUGUAGCGGUGAAAUGCGUAGAGAUUGGGAGGAAUACCAGUGGCGAAGGCGGCCUUCUGGACUGACACUGACACUGAGGUGCGAAAGCGUGGGUAGCAAACAGGAUUAGAUACCCUGGUAGUC
This 465-nucleotide ribosomal RNA is filed under the name Vreelandella stevensii. RNAcentral describes it as "partial 16S ribosomal RNA". It matches the Rfam family "Bacterial small subunit ribosomal RNA", at positions 338 to 795 of the family's 1533-position model. Lineage: Bacteria; Pseudomonadati; Pseudomonadota; Gammaproteobacteria; Oceanospirillales; Halomonadaceae. The record is from RNAcentral.